This is a long non-coding RNA of Callithrix jacchus (white-tufted-ear marmoset), 2602 nucleotides long. The record is from Ensembl. NCBI's taxonomy places the organism in Eukaryota, Metazoa, Chordata, Mammalia, Primates, Cebidae.
AUGACUAAAUCACUUUAUUUUCUCUAUAAAGCAGAGAAGUACAAUGUGUCUUGCGUGCAUACCAACUACCUUUUGUUGAGUGACUCUGGAGAAUCGAGAAAGGACAAAAUCAUUCAAGGUUUUGGCUACCACAACUAUUCCUCAGUUUUGGCGCUUAGAGAUGAAGAUGGAAGUUCCAGGAGAUCUAGCCACAUCUUGGAGGUGAAAUACUUUCUGGAGCAGGUGGGCAAAGCCUUUAUUUUGCAUACUUCCCAAGUCAGAAGCCUCAAAUCACCUUCCGCCCGUGACCCUCCAGCCCAUCUUCACACUCGCCUCCCCGACCCCACCCCAUCACCGCUCCGCUACUCCCAAUGCUGUCCUGGUGGCACCCAGGAGCCGUCUUUGCGGGCGGGGUUCCCCUUCUUCGCGGACAGGCUGCGUGUGAGCCUCGGCUCCUCCAUCCAGGAGCCAGGCCUCUUUCUUCAUCUUGCUGAGGAGUUCCAGGCUGCUGUCGCCCCAGUUCCCAGGGGCUUUGCACUCCCACGGGCUCCUGCUCACCUCUCCCACCACUGGGCGCUGACAGCACUCCAGGAGCAAGGAGGGGCAGCAGGAGCCGGGCCUCGCACUGCCGGGGAAGGGCAGCCCUCUGGGGUCUGGGCCACGGUCCCCGAGGAGCAGAGGAGCCGCAGGAGCCGCCACAGCAGACCCCCGGACGCAGAGGACCCCUCGCUGCUGCGGAGGAGCGCGCUCAGCCGGUGCCAACUUUCCCGACCCGGGAGACAAAGCGGUGGAGGGCAGUCCGGGACCCGAGUUGGAGGCGCGGGGCUCUGCUCCGUGGCUGUGGGGGCCGGAGCUCAGGACCCCAACACCAGCCAAGACUGGCCGCGGCAGGGCUGGCGGAGGCGGCGCCACCCGGGGUGGCCGCAGGUGCUGAGCGAGGCGCCGCCACGUGGGUGGGAAGAGGAGCCUCAGGGACCGGCUGCCGCCAGCAGAGCCCCACAUGGGGGCCGGGAGCUGUGUGUGGGGGGGUGCCCAGCUCCGCUCUCCCCACCGCCCUGCACCGCUAUGGGCUGAGGUCAGCCUGCCAGCACCAAGGACCCUCCCUUUGCUCUUUACUGCGUUUCACUGAAGACUCCAGCCAGUGUCCUGGAGAGGAGAGGGAUUCCUGCUAUUCCUGCUCUGUCCCUCUCAGUCUCUACAUUGGCACCUUGAUGUAACCCACAGCACAGGCAGCGUGUCCUGGCUGAGAGGCACAGAAGGCCUGUGGGGAUGGAGGUGGGGCCGUGUGUGGAUAAAAAAGCAUAUUUUAAAAGUAUAUAAAUUUAAGCGUGUGUCUGCAUGUGUGUGUGUGUGUCUGUGUGUGUUUACGGUUUUUCCCAUCAGUCGCCAGCUUUGCUCCCUUUUCUUGACCUUCUGUAGCCUUCAUUGGAUCUAAAACCAGUUUUGCAUAUUCUCAUUUGAAAGAGUACUUCGUUACCAGCCAUUUCUAAAUGUUUUGUGCCCCUAACACUAUGGUUUCCUUUAAAAUACCACAAAGUCCUAGGGGAAAAGAAAAAGGAAAUCAAAACUAUUUGGGAACAUUUUCGUUUGGAGCACACCAAUGUAGUCCCAGGGUCUAGCUUUAAACCCAAGAUUCCGUAGGAAAUCAGGAAUCUAUCGGAGACAUUUAUCUACUGCAUUUGUUAUAUAACUGGUGAACCAAUUCAUUGACCUGUAUCAUUCCCCACCUCACCCCUUGAAGCAGCUGGUAUGCCUUCUGAAUUCUUGGAAAUAACUUUCCAUAUGGUUAGCAGUCUUCUAUUUGGGUAUAAGGUGCUCACCACAGUCAUGCUGUGAGUUCUGGAGAAUGACCACACUUGGUUGCUUAAAAUUGAAAAUAACCUAAUUGUAACUGAAGAACAUUUCUACAAAAUAAGGGAACAGUAUGUUCCAAAAGUGUCAGUGUCAUGAAGUUGUCCUUCAUGACUGGGAACUGUCAGGGAGGAAGGAGAUUUAGGAGUAAGAAAACACGUCCUGUGAUCUUGAAUUAGAUCUUAGCUCGAGAAAGGGACAUUAGUAGGUCAGUUGGCAAAGUUGAAUAAAAUAUGUAGAAUGGCUGGUCAUAUUAUAUAAAUCUUAAUUUCCUAAUUUUGAAAUUGAACUGUGGUUGUGUCAGAUGUUGUGGAAGCAGAAUAUAAGGCAUAUAAGAAAUUAAUUUUUGAAAACUGUAUUUUGUUAUUUUAAAAUGAAAACAGAAAAUAAAUUUGGUCUGAUAAAAAUAACAUAAAAUGAUUGGAUUCAAUGACCUUGAAAUCUUCUCUGAGCCUAAACUUCUUCAAGCGUGUUACUAAAAUAUGUGCCAAGCCAGUUCUCCUGCUGCUGGCUAGUAUAAGGUUCAAAUGGAGAUUUUAGGAAGGAAAAGAAAAUUUGAAAAUUGCAAAUUGCAAAUUAUUUUUAAGCUUCAACAUUUUCCAGUAGAAAGUUUGAUUUUACAAGGGUGAAAUGUCUUCAGAGUCUUCUGCCAUCUUUACAAAACUAAUAACACUCUUGUAUGUACACAGUCAACAACUGAUAAAUGUCAAGACGAUAACAGCUGUAACAAUAAAAUAGUAAAAAUCGUAUCAUUCGUGUGUGUGUGUGUGUG